Molecule: long non-coding RNA, 2922 nt
Filed under: Papio anubis (olive baboon)
Lineage: Eukaryota; Metazoa; Chordata; Mammalia; Primates; Cercopithecidae
Description: lncRNA (ENSPANG00000050224.1)
Source: RNAcentral
GCAUUAUUUUGCAAAUAUUAAAGCAAUGUUCUUAAUUUCUACCCCUUUUAAGUCCUUGCAGCUUUUCCUCAUCAGUUGAAGCCUUGAGGUUUAUUGCUCUAGAGAAAGAAAGAGACUAGAAUAAAGAUACUAUUGAUUAGCUCUGAUUCUCAGAGCUGACCUCUUUAUGGAGACAGUGCACUUGGAAGCUAGGCUGUCAGGAGAGAGAGAUAUUUAGAUCACAAAACCCCACUUUAAGCCUGUGGACAGGUAAGGCUGGCACUGCAGAUCACAAAGCCCACAGUAUGACAGAAAGGAAGUGGAAAUCCUGCCCUUCCAUUCUGGGUGAAGAGAAGCUGUAAAAAAUGAGACAUAUGCGUUCUGCUCUCCUGCCUCUCCAUAGGGGAAGUGUGUUAGAUUUAGGGGGAUGCCUAAUCCACAUAGGAGAGGUGUGGUAGCAAUAGCGUAAAAGUUGAGCACAAAGUGUGAUUAGAUAUGACAAGGGUCUUAGUUGAGUUCUAAUAUAGCCUUGCCCACUUGACCCCAAGAUGGCACACAGAAGUCAGUUCAUAACAGGACUUGGGUCUCCGGAAACUGAGUGUGGUAUCCGUAUGGUGAGGACAAAUUGUCCAAGGACUGAAUGGAUGUCAUAGACAUCUUAGAGCCAAUAACCAAAGAGAACCACUUGGCCUUGAUCCUACAUUUAUAGACAAUAGACAACAACCUCAGCUUCUAAGGAUGAGGCAAGCAAUAGUCAUAGUAAAACAAGAGGCAUUUCCAUAAGGACCAAGGAAUCAUCCACAGCCUUGAAAAUAAAUCUGAGGGAGUGUCCCUUUCCCUUUACCACAGGAUCUCCCUCUCAAUAAACCCAGAUUCCAUGUCGGAGAGAAGCAGGUUGAGAAGAAGAAAACCAAAAUACUGGGAUUUAGACCAAAAAACAGGCAAGAAAUACUUGGAGAUUACUCGUCAAGCCUGUGUGCUCUCAUCAGCUCCUUCCCCUCCCAACCUGACCAGGAGUGCCUUUUAUAGUCCUCUGGAAGAAUUGGCUAAGAAGACAGCUGCUUCCUCAAGGGAGGAUGCCACCGCUUCUACCACACCUAGAGAAGCCUGCGUGGAUGAAACUAAGGAAGAGGCAAUCUGAGUAGGGUGGGGAAGAUGCUGCAAGCGGGGUCAUAUCUUCUUGACGUCAAGAUAAUUGUUUGAAAACUGAGAAAUCCAAUGUGGUUUCCUACGUGGUGCCAAGUAUCUCCUAUUGGCUUUCUUUUUCUGGAUUGGUAAAUAUUUUGGUGAAAUGUAGACACAACUGAUCUGAUAGUAACCUUUGCUCCAAGAAAGUACAAAAUUUGAUUAAUUUUCAUAACUUUCAUAUUAAGACAAGCACUGGAAUAUGAACCAGAAGACUACAUUCCUGCCACUUACAAAUUGUGCAACCUUGGAAUAGGAGUGUUCUUAAAUCUCUGCUUAGUCUUCACAGCUCUAAAGAUGUAACAGUGAGUAAAUAACAAGAAAGCUCUUUGAAAAGUAAAAAAGGGCUAUAAAAAUGAAAGCUUAUUAAACACCCUCAGCUUGAUUGAAAAUUAAAAAGAACACGUGUUAUUUCUUUUUAUUGUAAUAAUAAUAUCCUAAGUUAGACUUUAAGCUCUAUAUAAAAGGUCAGUACUGAACUGGCUCACCAUUGCUAUCUCCAAACACAGCACAGUGUCUGACAUAUAUAGGCUGUAUCAGUCAGGGGUCAACCAGAGAAGCAGUACUACUGUGAGUCAUGUAAAACAAAGUAGCUAGAUCUUUCCUCUGCAUCUGAUGUGGGGCCUGAGAUUGCAAUAGGCAAGCUGGAACAGUAGUUGGGAAGAACAGCUGGAUGCAAAGUGGGAGAGAACAAGGAUAGACUAGAACCAAUAUCUGUCUCUCACUACAUCCAACCCACAACACAGGUGACCUGCAAGAGAAGCUAAUCCCCAUUGACAUAGAGCUAGAAAACAGAGUGACCAGUGCAGACAAUCCAGCAAGAACUGGAGAAGCUGCAGAUCCAGGUGCUAUCCACCUGGCCACCCAGGUAGGCCAAGUAGAUUAGUGACAGCAUGCACAGGCUGCCAUCAUGCCUGGCACCAUGCACCAAAUUUCAGAGCAUACAAAAAUGGCUGGGCUUCUCUUCUGUUUCCCAAAUCUUAUGAAAAUUUCUCUUGUGGACAACCCUCACCCUGAAACAUACAGGAAAGUGAAUUCUGGAAAACAUAGUUCCAGUUUAGUGAAGCUGACUUAAUACAGAGUCACAUAUAGACACUUAAUAUGUUCUUCUUAAGUAAAUAUUUUUCAAAUUACAAACUUUUAUAAAUAUUUUAAAGUAAAAGUGAACACGUAUGAGAUUUAUAUGGAUAUGUGGAAGAUGACACAAUGUAUAGUUAUCACCAAGACUGGAGGCUGUCCACCUGAGGCAGGGCACCUGCUGCUCGGUUGUCCUGUUGGCAUCUUCUGAAGUGUGACUGGAGUGAAGAGCCAUUAUCCAAGGUGGUCGCCCAGUGACAAAAUAGAGACAUAAGAACAUUUGGUAAGUUUCAAAAUACCCUCAAAACUAAAAGUAGAGGGGAAAAUCCAAUGAGGUUUCUACUUACCAUCUCAGCAGGGGAGUCAGGCUCCACAGGCCUGGGUGCAAAGCACUCUAUCAUUUCCCAUGUCUUACAACUUCCCUCAUGUUGUGAAUUUUUUUUCCUAUUUUCCUGAAAAUUCUCAAAAUGAAAAACAAUGGGAUUUAGCUUGAUUUGAGGUUCGGGAAAUAAAAGGAAGGUUGAGAGCAAUCAACUUUUCAUUCAAUCUAAUAUCUUUUACUCUUCACUAUCAUUACAUUAUUUUUUAGACUUAUAUACAGUUCAUGGAGAUUUUCUUAUUCCUUUUAGGUUCUGACCUGACUUUUCAUUCCAUGAUGGGUAAUCCAUCAAGAAACCUAAU